CUCUGGUGUCUAAACGAAACGAAAAUCGACGACGAUUAUUUUGCUACUCGUCGAGCGACAUUUGCUGUGAGCAUUAUUUGUCAUACGGUAAUAAACUGGUUGUUAUUGUUAAACACCUUCUAGUGUACUUUCAUUAUCCUUCACGAUACUCAUAAUCACCUCAUACCAAUGCCAAUGAAAUCAGUGAGCUGUAUCUUUGUCCAUACAAUUAUCAAAUUUUAUCAUUUAUAGAAGUUAUAAACGCAAUUUUUUGUUUUCAAUAUAUGUAUAUUUCUAUUAUUCUAUUCUUUAUUUAUUAUGCAUGUUUAUCUCUUUAGAUUUUCCUUCCAAAUUGUAAUAAAUAGCACAUUUUCUAUAUACAGCAUAGUUUACGUAAAACUGAAUUCGAUGGAUUCAUGCAGAAAGGCAGCGGAGGAUUUUCGCAACGGAGGAUGUAAUUGAAGAAUGAGUGUUGUAAUGAAUUGGUUUUGGUUUGUAAAUAUAUUUGGUAUGUUCUUGCAGCACUUCUUCUUUGCAUUCUCAAGUCCCUUGGACAGCCUUUGGGAGAACAAAAAGAAAGACACAGUAGUAAUUGUGACUGUAACCGAGCGAUCAAUCAAAUAAUCAAUCAGCUGAUAAAAAGCCAACUACGGCUUCCUCCUCCCUUAAAGCAUAUAAGGGCAAAAAAGCAAACCUCUUCUUCUCUUUACAAAUGGCAUUUUCAUACGGCGGUCUCUAACAUCAGCAAAUAGCAGUGUAUUAAUAACCAUGAAGAAAACCAACCACUUUAGCAAACACUAACCGAGGUCCACUUAAUACUUAAUGUCCAGUUGCUCUGUAGAGCUACUCUGCUGGGUUACUGCUGCAUUUUCCCCUCAUUUAAGAAUCGUAGAAAGAAGAAUCGGACUCCGGUCGCCGAAAUUUGAACCCAGGUCUCGAAACGUUUGUAACCUAAGGUGCUAACCACUGCGCAGUCGUCGUCCGGUGGUAUUUGCUGUCGAGUGCCGCCACAAUUAUAAUGAUAUACUUUUCAGAUGACUUCUUCUAACAGCCAAAGACUGGUCUUACGAGGUAAAAGCUACGGAAGUAUAAUAUUUGUGUUGCGUUUCAACGAGAAAAUAAUGAUAGGAAAAUCACGUGAGAGUGAAAGAGACGAGAUGAUAAGUUCAACUUCUUAGCAAUUAUUUAAAGAAAUGAUAAACGACACAGGAUGUUCUGGAAGGACUAUUCCAAGAAUGAACUAUAAUGAGCACACCAGCAUGUUUGUUACAUUGUUUCGUGUGACUACAAGAAUCUAUUAAUCGGAAUCACCAACUCAUUCCAACAUAUAACUAUUUCAUGGAAAUUCUGCGCCGGUACGAGAUCUACAAAAAAGUCUCGAACUGUUCUGGAAAUAUACAUUGGAUUCCAUUGCGGGAUAGAAAGAUUUUUUCAGAUUUCACCUCAGUUAAUCAGGCAAUUAUUUCCAAUAAAAAAUGAGCAUGUGUUCCACAUUGGAGAUUUUUAACUGGUCGCGGAAUGGGUGAAAUUUCGCUUGAAAAAUUCCACUCACCCACACAGACAAACAGAACAUAAGCUAAAUAUAAUAAUUGUACUCUUUAUUGUAGCUUAUUUCUCUUAAUACUUUUUUGAUGAUAUAGAA
Long non-coding RNA from Bombus pyrosoma, 1621 nucleotides. RefSeq lists it as uncharacterized. The record is from RefSeq and is a predicted model, not a curated record. The transcript has 3 exons. Lineage: Eukaryota; Metazoa; Arthropoda; Insecta; Hymenoptera; Apidae.